GACGAACGCUGGCGGCGUGCUUAACACAUGCAAGUCGAACGGACAGGCCCUGCUCUUGCGGGGUGCUCGAUUGGCGAACGGGUGUGUAACACGCGAGUAUCCCGCCCUUGACUUUCGGAUAUCUCCACGAGACUGGGGCUAUUAUCGGAUAGGAGCUCCUGCUGCAUGGUGUGGGUUGGUAAGUUUCGGCGGUUGGGGCUGGUCUCGCGGGUUAUCCGCUUCUUGGUCGGGUAGUUGAGUACCAGGGCUUUGAAGGGUAGGCGGCCUUGGAGGGUGACCGGCGACAUUGGGACUGAGGUACGGCCCAGACGCCUACGGGAGGCAGCAGGGGGGAGUCUUGCGCAGUGGGCGGGAGCCAGAUGUAGCAGCGCCGCGUGCGGGAUAACGGGCUUCUGGGUGUAAACCGCUUUCGCCGGUAACGAAGAGUGAGUGACGGUACUGAGUAAAGAAGCACCGGCUAACUACGUG
RNAcentral lists this ribosomal RNA (468 nucleotides) under uncultured bacterium. RNAcentral's name for it is "partial 16S ribosomal RNA". It matches the Rfam family "Bacterial small subunit ribosomal RNA", at positions 28 to 507 of the family's 1533-position model. The record is from RNAcentral.